CCGUGCUAGGUGGGGAGGUAGCGGUGCCCUGUAACCCGCAAUCCGCUGUAGCGGGGCUGAAUUCCAAUCCGAGGCUUUAUUCAGUUUAUAGCAGGUCUAUCAGUCCUGUGUUGAAGAUUGGGUCCUACGCAACGAGCACUUCUGAACCGUGUCAGAUCCGGAAGGAAGCAGCACUAAGGGAGAUCGUUCGUGUGCCGUAGGGUUGCCUGAUCGGAGCAAGAGUGAUAGGUGCCGUAUAGGUUGUUUGAGUCAGAGAUUGGUGCACGG
Non-coding RNA from Thermoactinomyces sp. DSM 45891, 267 nucleotides. The record is from Rfam. NCBI's taxonomy places the organism in Bacteria, Bacillati, Bacillota, Bacilli, Caryophanales, Thermoactinomycetaceae.